GCACCCCAACGGCUUCCUGACGGGGUGUUAAUUACAAAUCGGAGCG
RNAcentral lists this non-coding RNA (46 nucleotides) under Jannaschia faecimaris. RNAcentral's name for it is "SAM-SAH-Weickhmann-2018 RNA". It matches the Rfam family "SAM/SAH riboswitch aptamer". The record is from RNAcentral. Lineage: Bacteria; Pseudomonadati; Pseudomonadota; Alphaproteobacteria; Rhodobacterales; Roseobacteraceae.